RNAcentral lists this transfer RNA (67 nucleotides) under Marmota monax (woodchuck). RNAcentral describes it as "tRNA.Ala". The record is from RNAcentral. Lineage: Eukaryota; Metazoa; Chordata; Mammalia; Rodentia; Sciuridae.
GGAUUGUGGCUCAGCGGUAGAGCGCUCGCCUAGCACUGGUGUGACCUGGGUUCCAUUCUCAGCACCA